This is a small nuclear RNA of Cynocephalus volans (Philippine flying lemur), 116 nucleotides long. RefSeq annotates it as U5 spliceosomal RNA. NCBI's taxonomy places the organism in Eukaryota, Metazoa, Chordata, Mammalia, Dermoptera, Cynocephalidae. The transcript has a single exon. The record is from RefSeq and is a predicted model, not a curated record.
ACACUCUAGUUUUUUCUCAGAUCGUGUAAAUCUUUCGCCUUUUACUAAAGAUUUCCGUGGAGAGGAGCUACUCUGAGUCUUAAGCCAGUUUUUUGAGGCCCCGGUUGGAUAAGACU